AUUGAACGCUGGCGGCAGGCUUAACACAUGCAAGUCGAGCGGGGGAAGGUAGCUUGCUACCGGACCUAGCGGCGGACGGGUGAGUAAUGCUUAGGAAUCUGCCUAUUAGUGGGGGACAACAUCUCGAAAGGGAUGCUAAUACCGCAUACGUCCUACGGGAGAAAGCAGGGGAUCUUCGGACCUUGCGCUAAAAGUUGAGCCUAAGUCGGAUUAGCUAGUUGGUGGGGUAAAGGCCUACCAAGGCGACGAUCUGUAGCGGGUCUGAGAGGAUGAUCCGCCACACUGGGACUGAGACACGGCCCAGACUCCUACGGGAGGCAGCAGUGGGGAACAUUGGACAAUGGGGGGAACCCUGAUCCAGCCAUGCCGCGUGUGUGAAGAAGGCCUUAUGGUUGUAAAGCACUUUAAGCGAGGAGGAGGCUACUCUAGUUAAUACCUAGGGAUAGUGGACGUUACUCGCAGAAUAAGCACCGGCUAACUCUGUGCCAGCCGCCGCCGUAA
RNAcentral lists this ribosomal RNA (501 nucleotides) under uncultured bacterium. Its description in RNAcentral is "partial 16S ribosomal RNA". It matches the Rfam family "Bacterial small subunit ribosomal RNA", at positions 30 to 523 of the family's 1533-position model. The record is from RNAcentral.